RNAcentral lists this ribosomal RNA (386 nucleotides) under uncultured bacterium. RNAcentral's name for it is "bacterial SSU rRNA". It matches the Rfam family "Bacterial small subunit ribosomal RNA", at positions 30 to 410 of the family's 1533-position model. The record is from RNAcentral.
AUUGAACGCUGGCGGCAGGCCUAACACAUGCAAGUCGAACGGUAACAGGAAACAGCUUGCUGUUUCGCUGACGAGUGGCGGACGGGUGAGUAAUGUCUGGGAAACUGCCUGAUGGAGGGGGAUAACUACUGGAAACGGUAGCUAAUACCGCAUAACGUCGCAAGACCAAAGAGGGGGACCUUCGGGCCUCUUGCCAUCGGAUGUGCCCAGAUGGGAUUAGCUAGUAGGUGGGGUAACGGCUCACCUAGGCGACGAUCCCUAGCUGGUCUGAGAGGAUGACCAGCCACACUGGAACUGAGACACGGUCCAGACUCCUACGGGAGGCAGCAGUGGGGAAUAUUGCACAAUGGGCGCAAGCCUGAUGCAGCCAUGCCGCGUGUAUGAAG